CACCUUGCAGGGCAGGCGCGCAGCGCCGGUUGGAAUUGGAACAGGGGCCAACCACGCGCCUGCAAGGGAAGCCAGGGCCGGAAUGUCGGGGGACGUCCGGCCCUUUUUU
RNAcentral lists this antisense RNA (109 nucleotides) under Lysobacter defluvii IMMIB APB-9 = DSM 18482. Its description in RNAcentral is "Xanthomonadaceae sRNA asX1". It matches the Rfam family "Xanthomonadaceae sRNA asX1". The record is from Rfam by way of RNAcentral. Lineage: Bacteria; Pseudomonadati; Pseudomonadota; Gammaproteobacteria; Lysobacterales; Lysobacteraceae.